Molecule: ribosomal RNA, 433 nt
Filed under: uncultured bacterium
Lineage: Bacteria
Description: partial 16S ribosomal RNA
Rfam family: Bacterial small subunit ribosomal RNA
Source: RNAcentral
GACGAACGCUGGCGGCAUGCCUAACACAUGCAAGUCGAACGAGAACUUCGGGUCUAGUGGCGCACGGGUGCGUACCGCGGGGGAACCUGCCCGUAGGUUCGGUAUCACUCCCCGAAGGGGGUUCUAAUAAAGGAUAAUCUAUUCGGACCAAGGAUUUAUCGCCUUUGGAUGGGCGCGGGUUGGAUUAGCUGGUUGGUAGGGUACAAGCAUACCAACGCGACGAUCCAUAGCUGGUCUGAGAGGAUGAUCAGCCACACUGGAACUGAGACACGGCCCAGAGUCCUACGGGAGGCAGCAGUGGGGAAUAUUGGACAAUGGGCGAAAGCCUGAGCCAGCCACGCCGCGUGAGUGAUGAAGGGCUUAGUGUUGUAAAGCUCUUUUAGCCGGGAUGAUAAUGACAGUACCGGGUGAAUAAGCACCGGCUAACUCCGUG